ACAGCUAGAUGCAUUACAUUUACUUCUAGAUGUGCUUUGUAUACAUACAAAGUUAGAAAUGUUAGUUCUGUAGAACCUGUAAGAAUUAUCGCAGGUAUGUCAAAUAGUUUAUUAUGGUAAAUUAGUUGUACUAAUUUAAAGGAGCCAUGUAAGUGUAUUUGAUUUAGUCGACAAAAAGGUUAGAGCGCCAUCUUCGGCGACAGACUUUUAUAGACAGAGUUUCAAAGUCAAACAAUGAUCAAUGAAGAACAAUGAGAAAUCGAUGAUUAAUUGCAACAUAUUCUUAGCUGCAGACAAGUUAAUUGACUAAAAGGAGGCAAGAAGUUUUCACGGAGUGAAAAGAACAGAGUUAAAAGAAAGGAGUCAAAGAAAGGAAGCUACGCUCCUACCAAAGAAUAAAAGAACACUCCCGUAAAAA
RNAcentral lists this long non-coding RNA (418 nucleotides) under Strongylocentrotus purpuratus (purple sea urchin). RNAcentral's name for it is "uncharacterized LOC115920180". Lineage: Eukaryota; Metazoa; Echinodermata; Echinoidea; Camarodonta; Strongylocentrotidae. The record is from RNAcentral.